RNAcentral lists this ribosomal RNA (118 nucleotides) under Solanum lycopersicum (tomato). The record is from RNAcentral. Lineage: Eukaryota; Viridiplantae; Streptophyta; Magnoliopsida; Solanales; Solanaceae.
GAAUGCGAUUAUACCAGCACUAAAGCAUCAGAUCCCAUCAAAACUCCGAAGUUAAACGUGCUUGGGCGAGAGUAGUACUAGGAUGGGUGACCCCCUUGAAGUCCUAGUGCUGCAUCUC